RNAcentral lists this unclassified non-coding RNA (438 nucleotides) under uncultured Thelephoraceae. RNAcentral describes it as "sequence contains ITS2". The stretch from base 1 to 155 matches the Rfam family "5.8S ribosomal RNA". The record is from RNAcentral. Lineage: Eukaryota; Fungi; Basidiomycota; Agaricomycetes; Thelephorales; Thelephoraceae.
AACUUUUGGCAACGGAUCUCUAGGCUCUCGUAUCGAUGAAGAACACAGCGAAAUGUGAUAAGUAAUGUGAAUUGCAGAAUUCAGUGAAUCAUCGAAUCUUUGAACGCACCUUGCGCCCUUUGGCUAUUCUGAAGGGCAUGCCUGUUUGAGUAUCAUGAACACCUCAACUCCUCAUGGUUUGCCACGAGGAGCUUGGACUUUGGGGGUCUUGCUGGCCUACGGUUGGCUCCUCUCAAAUGGAUCAGCUUGCCAGUGUUUGGUGGCAUCACAGGUGUGAUAAAUAUCUACGCUUGUGGUUUUCCACCAUGUAACCUUCAGCAAUGAAGGUUCGCUGGAGCUCACAAACGUCCCUCCUCAGUGAGGACAGCUUUUUGAACGUUUGAUCUCAAAUCAGGUAGGAUUACCCGCUGAACUUAAGCAUAUCAAUAAGCGGAGGCU